GAUGAACGCUAGCGGCGUGCCUAACACAUGCAAGUCGAACGUGAGAGGGUACUUGUAUCCUUGAAAGUGGCGGACGGGUGAGUAAGACGUAGGUGACCUGCCUUGAAGUGGGGGAUAACCAUUGGAAACGAUGGCUAAUACCGCAUAAGCUGGUGAUGAUGGGAAUCGUUAUCAGGAAAGCUUUAGUGCUUUAAGAGGGGCCUACGGCCGAUUAGCUAGUUGGUGGGGUAAAGGCUCACCAAGGCGAUGAUCGGUAGCUGGUCUGAGAGGAUGGCCAGCCACAUCGGGACUGAGACACGGCCCGGACUCCUACGGGAGGCAGCAGUCGGGAAUAUUGGACAAUGGGCGCAAGCCUGAUCCAGCAAUACCGCGUGUGUGAAGAAGGCCUGCGGGUUGUAAAGCACUUUCAGUUGGGAAGAUAAUGACGUUACCAACAGAAGAAGCACCGGCUAACUCCGUG
This 460-nucleotide ribosomal RNA is filed under the name uncultured bacterium. Its description in RNAcentral is "bacterial SSU rRNA". It matches the Rfam family "Bacterial small subunit ribosomal RNA", at positions 28 to 507 of the family's 1533-position model. The record is from RNAcentral.